CAGAAGUUGGAGCUCCUUUUGUUUUUGGGGAGAAUAAAAAGGAGCAGAUCUCAUCCUCAAACAUCACACCCUUCUUCAGCAAUCCUUCGAUACUCCUGUGGUGCUGCACUACUAAAGAUAUUUUUUGUCAACAGAAUCAUUCAAGAUGAAAACCUUCAUUCUGAUUGCCUGCAUCCUGGGGACUGCUCUCUGCCGCCCUCAAAGGCUGGUCAUGGAGUUUGACUUCCAGGCUGCCAACGCUCAGGCUCUCCAAGCUGGACAAGCCAGACCUGAUCUAGAGAUUAUCCUUCCUGUUGGUGGUGGAGUACCUUCGGGUGGUUUCAUCAAACAGGAGAUCCCCCAGCCACUCGGCCAGGAGAGCAUCGAGAUCUAUCACCCCUUCAGCAUCCAGGUUGCUCCACCUCCGCCUGCUCCUGCUGCACCUGCCCGUACUCAUGCAUCCGAUGAGGAAGAUGACUAGAGAUUUACUCGUUUCAGAUGACCGAUACUUGGAGAUCUACAGUACCCUUCGAUGAAACAACGAUGUCCUUCAACUCCAGAGCUGCUUUUAGUGUCCUAGAUUGAUUCAGUAAAUGCAAUGCUUAACCCAGCAAUAAACUAAGAGUAACACGGUGCUUAAUUAACCAAUGGCUUAAUGUAUGAAAUCUGUGUGUAAUUGUUUCUACUUGGCAGAAUAAUGUUAAUAAAACCCCCCAAAAAAUGUUUGCCGAACUUCUCCAUACCAUGCCUCAAUUUUCUUCCUUCUCUCUGCUUGUUAGUCUAUGGCAUUGAUAACGUUCAGCAUUCAAAUAAUUACAGUUCUUAAUCGGAU
Molecule: long non-coding RNA, 811 nt
Filed under: Salmo salar (Atlantic salmon)
Lineage: Eukaryota; Metazoa; Chordata; Actinopteri; Salmoniformes; Salmonidae
Description: lncRNA (ENSSSAG00000122139.1)
Source: RNAcentral